Molecule: ribosomal RNA, 254 nt
Filed under: uncultured bacterium
Lineage: Bacteria
Description: partial 16S ribosomal RNA
Rfam family: Bacterial small subunit ribosomal RNA
Source: RNAcentral
UACGUAGGAGGCGAGCGUUGUCCGGAGUUACUGGGCGUAAAGGGUGCGCAGGCGGCGGUUCGCGUGGAUAGAUGAAAUCUCCUGGCUUACCUGGGAGGAUGGUAUCCAGACGGGAUCGCUUGAGGGUCGGAGAGGGGCGUGGAAUUCCGGGUGGAGCGGUGAAAUGCGUAGAGAUCCGGAGGAACACCGACGGCGUAGGCAGCGCCCUGGACGACACCUGACGCUGAGACGCGAAAGCGUGGGGAGCGAACAGG